CGCAAGGGCGGCGGCGCCCCCUGGCGGCCAAGGGGCGGGGGCGCGGCUGAGCCGCCUCCCUCGCUCGCUUGUUCGUUCGCUCCCUCGCUGCCUCCUUCCUCGCGCCUCGGCCCAACAUGGCGAUGCACAACAAGGCGGCGCCGCCGCAGAUCCCGGACACCCGGCGGGAGCUGGCCGAGCUGGUGAAGCGCAAACAGGAGCUGGCGGAGACGCUGGCAAACUUGGAGAGACAGAUCUAUGCUUUUGAAGGGAGCUACCUGGAAGACACCCAGAUGUAUGGCAAUAUUAUUCGGGGCUGGGACCGCUAUCUGACAAAUCAAAAAAACUCUAAUAGCAAAAAUGAUCGUAGGAACCGAAAAUUUAAAGAAGCUGAACGGCUCUUCAGUAAAUCCUCAGUUACUUCGGCAGCGGCAGUCAGUGCAUUGGCUGGAGUUCAGGACCAACUUAUUGAAAAAAGGGAACCAGGCAGUGGUACAGAAAGUGACACAUCUCCAGACUUUCACAAUCAGGAGAAUGAACCUAGCCAAGAGGACACAGAGGAUCUGGAUGGAUCUGUGCAGGGAGUGAAACCCCAGAAGGCUGCUUCUUCCACCUCUUCAGGAAGUCAUCACAGCAGCCAUAAAAAGAGGAAGAAUAAAAACCGACACAGGUAUGUAUAUUAGGUUAGGCUGGGAAGUUUUUUUAAAAAACAGAAAAACGUGAUGGAGGAUUGAUCUGAAGCUAAACAAAAAGCCAAGAGCCGAUUAUUAGAAGACCCAUUAGUACAGAAGCUUACAGGCUGUAGAGCCCUGCCCUCAUACAACUUCACCAAGAUAAGCACCCCUCCACUGAGUGGCCAUUAACGUCUGCACUCUCAGACCCAGUGCCUGCAUCGAGGAGUAGUUUGUUCUAAAGAGGGGUGAAAGAAAAUCCUUUCUGUAAAACCACAUCAGACCAUUUACCUCGUGUCCUUUUUAGUAACUGAACUGCAGGAAGACCAAGGCAUGGUGCAGUCCUAGGUUGCCUACUUUCUGCAUUUCUCCAUUCUUGGGAUUGAGCACUUCGGCAUUGGCUGCAUCAAAUUCAUCUAUGACACCCAUCGAAAAAUGUUGGGGGGUGGGGGUGGGGGUUGAUGCCGAAACCAACGCCCAGUUGAGUUUUGUCAGAUGGAGGCUGUAAAUAUCAGGCAUUUCCUUAUUCUGCCUUAUGUGUUGUUUGUUGUUACUGUCUUGUUUUCUUUGAGGGGUUUGUUGUAAUACAGUUGUACAGCUUAUGGCUUCCUGCUGUUUUCUUUGCUAUUUGAUUGUCUUUACUUGGCUUAGGGGCUGAUAUCCUAACACUGAAAAUAAUCUCCAGUAGCAUAAAUAAAAUGGAUGACUUGU
Gracilinanus agilis (Agile Gracile Mouse Opossum) is the source of this 1361-nucleotide RNA transcript. It is a transcript of the gene named MYST/Esa1 associated factor 6, with no coding region annotated. NCBI's taxonomy places the organism in Eukaryota, Metazoa, Chordata, Mammalia, Didelphimorphia, Didelphidae. The transcript is spliced from 8 exons. The record is from RefSeq and is a predicted model, not a curated record.